AUUGAACGCUGGCGGAAUGCUUUACACAUGCAAGUCGAACGGCAGCACGGACUUCGGUCUGGUGGCGAGUGGCGAACGGGUGAGUAAUACAUCGGAACGUGCCCAGUCGUGGGGGAUAACGUAGCGAAAGCUACGCUAAUACCGCAUACGAUCUAAGGAUGAAAGCGGGGGAUCGCAAGACCUCGCGCGAUUGGAGCGGCCGAUGGCAGAUUAGGUAGUUGGUAGGGUAAAGGCCUACCAAGCCGACGAUCUGUAGCUGGUCUGAGCGGAUGGUCAGCACCACGGGGGCUGAGACACGGCCCAGACUCCUACGGGAGGCAGCAGUGGGGAAUUUUGGACAAUGGGCGCAAGCCUGAUCCAGCCAUUCCGCGUGCAGGAUGAAGGCCUUCGGGUUGUAAACUGCUUUUGUACAGAACGAAAAGGCUCUGGUUAAUACCCGGGGCUCAUGACGGUACUGUAAGAAUAAGCACCGGCUAACUACGUGCCAGCCGCCGCAGUAA
RNAcentral lists this ribosomal RNA (500 nucleotides) under uncultured bacterium. RNAcentral describes it as "partial 16S ribosomal RNA". It matches the Rfam family "Bacterial small subunit ribosomal RNA", at positions 30 to 523 of the family's 1533-position model. The record is from RNAcentral.